This 489-nucleotide ribosomal RNA is filed under the name uncultured bacterium. Its description in RNAcentral is "partial 16S ribosomal RNA". It matches the Rfam family "Bacterial small subunit ribosomal RNA", at positions 28 to 507 of the family's 1533-position model. The record is from RNAcentral.
GAUGAACGCUCGCUACAGGCUUAACACAUGCAAGUCGAGGGGCAGCAUGAACUUAGCUUGCUAAGUUUGAUGGCGACCGGCGCACGGGUGAGUAACACGUAUCCAACCUGCCGAUGACUCGGGGAUAGCCUUUCGAAAGAAAGAUUAAUACCCGAUGGCAUAGUUCUUCCGCAUGGUAGAACUAUUAAAGAAUUUCGGUCAUCGAUGGGGAUGCGUUCCAUUAGGUUGUUGGCGGGGUAACGGCCCACCAAGCCUUCGAUGGAUAGGGGUUCUGAGAGGAAGGUCCCCCACAUUGGAACUGAGACACGGUCCAAACUCCUACGGGAGGCAGCAGUGAGGAAUAUGGGUCAAUGGACGAGAGUCUGAACCAGCCAAGUAGCGUGAAGGAUGACUGCCCUAUGGGUUGUAAACUUCUUUUAUACGGGAAUAAAGUGAGGCACGGGUGCCUUUUUGUAUGUACCGUAUGAAUAAGAAUCGGCUAACUCCGUG